This 433-nucleotide ribosomal RNA is filed under the name uncultured bacterium. Its description in RNAcentral is "bacterial SSU rRNA". It matches the Rfam family "Bacterial small subunit ribosomal RNA", at positions 340 to 786 of the family's 1533-position model. The record is from RNAcentral.
UACGGGAGGCAGCAGUGGGGAAUAUUGGACAAUGGGCGAAAGCCUGAUCCAGCCAUGCCGCAUGAGUGAAGAAGGCCUUCGGGUUGUAAAGCUCUUUUAGUGAGAAAGAUAAUGACGGUACUCACAGAAGAAGUCCUGGCUAACUCCGUGCCAGCAGCCGCGGUAAUACGGAGAGGGCUAGCGUUAUUCGGAAUUAUUGGACGUAAAGAGCGCGUAGGCUGAUUAGUAAGUUAAAAGUGAAAUCCCAAAGCUUAACUUUGGAAUUGCUUUUUAAAACUGCUAGUCUAGAGAUUGAAAGAGGAUAGAGGAAUUCCUAGUGUAGAGGUGAAAUUCGUAAAUAUUAGGAGGAACACCAGUGGCGAAGGCGUCUAUCUGGUUCAAAUCUGACGCUGAGGCGCGAAGGGCGUGGGGAGCAAACAGGGAUUUAGAUACC